This 392-nucleotide ribosomal RNA is filed under the name uncultured bacterium. Its description in RNAcentral is "partial 16S ribosomal RNA". It matches the Rfam family "Bacterial small subunit ribosomal RNA", at positions 523 to 918 of the family's 1533-position model. The record is from RNAcentral.
AUACGGAGGAUCCGAGCGUUAUCCGGAUUUAUUGGGUUUAAAGGGUGCGCAGGCGGCCAUUUAAGUCAGCGGUUAAAUCGUGGGGCUCAACCCCAUUCUGCCGUUGAUACUGGGUGGCUUGAUUGCGGUCGAGGUUGGCGGAAUUCGUUGUGUAGCGGUUAAAUGCAUAGAUAUGACGAAGAACACCGAUUGCGUAGGCAGCUGACCAGACCGCAAAUGACGCUCAUGCACGAAAGUGCGGGGAUCGAACAGGAUUAGAUACCCUGGUAGUCCGCACAGUAAACGAUGAAUACUUGUUUUCGGCGAUAUAAUGUCGGAGGCAAAGCGAAAGCGAUAAGUAUUCCACCUGGGGAGUACGCCGGCAACGGUGAAACUCAAAGGAAUUGGCGGGG